RNAcentral lists this long non-coding RNA (2009 nucleotides) under Panax ginseng (ginseng). RNAcentral's name for it is "long non-coding RNA (PGIN_LNC005170)". Lineage: Eukaryota; Viridiplantae; Streptophyta; Magnoliopsida; Apiales; Araliaceae. The record is from RNAcentral.
UAGUUUCCAUCCCCCCAAAUAACACCUGUUUGGAUAACUUUUUUACGCGUAUACAACGCGCCUAAGGAAAAUAUAAUACUCCUUAGAGCUCUGUUUCGUUGCUCUUUCAAAAAAAUAUUGUAUAACAAACGGCACCUCCUCAUCAAGCAUAUCACCCAUCCACCUAUUUAUCGUUUCCUUUCUUUGUCAUUAACAUUCUCUAUCCCUUUGAUUAAACGCACCAAAAACCAACCCUCUCUCUCUCUCCCUCCCUCCCUCCCUCCCUCCUCUUAACCCAGUCAACCCCCUUUCUUCUAUCUUCUCUAAAUCAUGAGUUACUACAACCAGAAUCAGCCUCCCGUUGGUAAUCCUCCUCCUCAAGGUCAGUUCAUCAAUUUUAAUUUGUUCGUUUUGGGUGUUUUUGCUUGUUUGAUGAAUUUAUUAGAUCUAUUGGGAAUUUUGUGUUGAGGUUUGAUGAUUUGUUCAUUACAGGUUAUCCUCCUCAGGAUUACCCAAAGGACGCAUACCCGCCACCGGGAUACCCUCCACAAGGAUACUCACAACCAGGGUACCCGCAACAGGGGUACCCUCCUCAGGGCGGCUAUCCGCCCCAAUACGCUCCUCAGUACGCUCAGCAGCAGCCUCAACAAAGCAAAAGCAGUGGUCUCGUGGAAGGCUGGUAUGCGCUUCAAUUUUCUCUAUCCUAUUAUACAUGUAUGUAUGUAUAUAUAUAUAUAUAUAUAUAUAUAUUUCUAUAUAUGCAUGAAUGAGAUCUGGAUGAUCUGGGUUGUGAUGUGAUUAUGAGUUGGUGAACGGGUCAACUCAGUUGGGCGGUCGGUGGGGAGCCGUCAAAUGACAUGAUCAGAGUCAAUUCCGAAACAGCCCUCUAAUGUUGGUUUAGAGGGUAUUUCGGUCAUUCUCUAAUCUGCUGAUGGUGUGCGUAGGUGCUCUUGACUAUAGUAGUAUUUGGGUACCUAGGUAUGAUGUUCCUCCGUAUUUUUUCAAGAGUGGGGCUAGUAUUUUGGAUGUGGUUCAUUUGUUUGAAAUAAUAAAAAGAAUAAAGACGAGUUCUUGUUAACACACACUUACUUGAUGCAGUUUGGCUGCUCUCUGCUGUUGCUGUCUAUUGGAUGCGUGCUUUUGAUGAGAAUUUGUGGAUGGUGAUCUUUCAGUGUGGCAGCAUCAUUCAUAUACCCUCUCUUUUCUAUCUUCUAUUUUGAAAAAAUAAUUGGACUACAAAUGUACCUUGGUGGUAGUAAUUCUUGUGGAACGGAAGAGAUAUUCUGGUCUUAAGUUCACUAGUUUUAUCUCCAUUGCUAAAAAUCAACUUUGUUAUAAAUUCUUCACAUUUAAAUCAUCCACUCGCGCAUGGUAGAAAAGGAAUAAGUAUUUGCUUUGGGGGGUUUGAAGGAAUAUUAUGAUUGGGUUUAUGAAUGUUUCAUGUUGUAUAUCAAUUAUGAAUGAAUUGGCAUGUACUCCAUUUGAAGAAUUCAAAACUUGUAAAAAGAUAUUAAUAUUCAUAGAAUUUAUUUGAUUUUGACUAACAUAAUCAUAAUUAUUUUAAAUUAUCUACAAGUUAUCUUUAUAAUACUUUUUAAAAAUUCGUAUGAAUCACUAAUUUAAAAUUUAUGAGUUAUUUCAAAAAGUUAAAAUGGAACUUAUUUUAUUUCAAUGAACCCUAGGCAUUUUCUAAAACACGCCCAAACUUGUUCUGAUUCAUGGAAUAUCUGCGUUAUCCCUUGUCAUGAUAUCGUUUUGAUCUACCCCGGUUAUAAUUAAUUGUAUUCCAUAUUCUUAUACAAACAUUGGUUCACUUGUUUCAAUAGGAUAUGAAAUUAACUUCAUGUAAGUUGGUUAAUUGACCAAUACAGUGCUGAUACGCAUAAAUAGAUCACCUUUUGUCUGUAUGUAUGUCGACAAUAUAAUGGUCAAUUAACCAAAAUUGACUUAAUAUUAACUACUCCCAUCUCAAUAAAAUAAAAGGAUUAACUACAAAAGUGAGUGUCAAAAUUUUUAUAUUUAGUGUUAAG